This 201-nucleotide ribosomal RNA is filed under the name Clavulina cinerea. RNAcentral describes it as "partial 5.8S ribosomal RNA". The stretch from base 3 to 156 matches the Rfam family "5.8S ribosomal RNA". From Rfam's summary of the family: 5.8S ribosomal RNA (5.8S rRNA) is a component of the large subunit of the eukaryotic ribosome. It is transcribed by RNA polymerase I as part of the 45S precursor that also contains 18S and 28S rRNA. The record is from RNAcentral. Lineage: Eukaryota; Fungi; Basidiomycota; Agaricomycetes; Cantharellales; Hydnaceae.
ACAACUUUUAACAACGGAUCUCUUGGCUCUCGCAUCGAUGAAGAACGCAGCGAAAUGCGAUAAGUAAUGUGAAUUGCAGAAUUCAGUGAAUCAUCGAAUCUUUGAACGCACCUUGCGCUCUCUGGUAUUCCGGGGAGCACACCUGUUCGAGUGUCAUUGAAACUCUCAAAUAAAGGUGGUUUUUGCAGACCAUCUCUGUUU